This is a non-coding RNA of Podarcis lilfordi (Lilford's wall lizard), 75 nucleotides long. NCBI's taxonomy places the organism in Eukaryota, Metazoa, Chordata, Lepidosauria, Squamata, Lacertidae. The record is from the annotation of a GenBank genome assembly.
UGUUCUUAUAGCUCAGUCGGUAAAGCCUUAAACUCUUAAUCUCAGGGUUGUGGGUUCAAGCCCCAUAUUGGGCAA